Long non-coding RNA from Aptenodytes forsteri (emperor penguin), 880 nucleotides. RefSeq lists it as uncharacterized. The record is from RefSeq and is a predicted model, not a curated record. The transcript is spliced from 5 exons. NCBI's taxonomy places the organism in Eukaryota, Metazoa, Chordata, Aves, Sphenisciformes, Spheniscidae.
UCUUUGAACACAUCGAAUGCCGUUUCCCCAGCAGCAGCACUGACAUUUGGGAAGUUUUACCCAAAAAGGUGCCCGGGUGCGCGAUCCAGAUGGAGUACCUGGUGAAUGAUUUCUUUGCUCACACUACCUCCUGGAAUUCCCUUGAGGAUACAGAGAGGAAACCGGAUCGGUACAAGGAGAGCACCAAAGUCUGUCUCGGGGAUGCCGAGAAAGGAGAAGACUUUGAGAUCGUCUACGAUUGGGAUGAGGAAGUGGUGAGAGACAAUAUUGGAACCUUCAUACAGGCGAUCAUCAAGCGCCUGAAGGCCGAGAAACAUAAACUUCCUAAGCUCCUGUUCGCCUUCCACACCUCGUUUCGCUAUCACGUCCCCCCUCCCGCCGGCAUCCAUCGCCAAGGCUGAAAAGCGCCUCCAGGCCAUCGAGUUCUUCGAAGACAGAUACAAAGAACUGAGAGGAAAAAGCAAAUACUUUCCGUCUCCGAAGGAAAUGUGUCUCAGGACCACUGACGGCACCUUGUGGAUCUGGUUGGUCCCGCUGCUCUACGCGAUCAAGGAGAAGACAGAGGACCCCUUUCUCCCACGCGAACCUCCUUCACAAGCCUUCAUACAGCUGAGGAGGGACGAAGAGAAGCAAAGGAAAGUCCUGAAGAUGAUGGACACGCACAAGACCUUGAUUAGAAGAUGUGCUCCGCUGGCAAAGAAGGUGGUGGAGAUGGUGGCCUUGAGGAACUUCGCCAAGGACCCUUUGCCUGACAUUUGGCUUCCACUCCAGCUCCUCUUGGACACCUUGUACAGGCGCAGCUUGCGCAUCAGUACAGCCUCAUCCCAAGAAGACGAUUUGAACAUGGCUUUGGAAAUCAUCGCCACCAGGAUGGACUCCU